This 482-nucleotide ribosomal RNA is filed under the name uncultured bacterium. RNAcentral's name for it is "partial 16S ribosomal RNA". It matches the Rfam family "Bacterial small subunit ribosomal RNA", at positions 30 to 507 of the family's 1533-position model. The record is from RNAcentral.
AUUGAACGCUGGCGGCAUGCUUUACACAUGCAAGUCGAACGGUAACAGGCCGCGAGGUGCUGACGAGUGGCGGACGGGUGAGUAAUGCAUCGGAACGUGCCCAGUCGUGGGGGAUAACUACUCGAAAGAGUAGCUAAUACCUCAUACGAUCUAUGGAUGAAAGCGGGGGACCGUAAGGCCUCGCGCGAUUUUAGCGGCCGAUGUCAGAUUAGGUAGUUGGUGGGGUAAAGGCUUACCAAGCCAACGAUCUGUAGCUGGUCUGAGAGGACGACCAGCCACACUGGAACUGAGACACGGCCCAGACUCCUACGGGAGGCAGCAGUGGGGAAUCUUGGGCAAUGGGCGCAAGCCUGAUCCAGCAAUGCCGCGUGCAGGAAGAAGGCCUUCGGGUUGUAAAAUGCUUUUGUACGGAACGAAACGGCUCUGGUUAAUACCCGGGGGUAAUGACGGUACCGUAAGAAUAAGCACCGGCUAACUACGUG